Molecule: ribosomal RNA, 469 nt
Filed under: uncultured bacterium
Lineage: Bacteria
Description: partial 16S ribosomal RNA
Rfam family: Bacterial small subunit ribosomal RNA
Source: RNAcentral
GACGAACGCUGGCGGCGUGCUUAACACAUGCCAGUCGAACGGUGACGCCAGUGCUUGCACCCGUGGAUCAGUUGCGAACGGGUGAGUAACACGUGAGUAACCUACCCAUCCCUCUGGGAUAAGCACUGGACACGUUGUCUAAUACUGGCUACGACCAACCCUUUCUUGGGGGGUUCGCGUUAAGAUUUCUCGGUGGUGGAUGGACUCGCGGCCUAUCAGCUUGUUGGCGGGGUAAUUGCCCACCAAGGCGACGACGGGUAGCCGGCCUGAGGGGGUGACCGGCCACACUGGGCCUGAGACACGGCACAGACUCGUACGGGAGGGAGCGGAGGAGUAUGGUGCACUAUGGGCGAAAGCAAGAUGCAGCGCAGCCGCGUGGGGGAUGAGGGCCAUGGGGUUGGAUACCAAUUUCAGCAGGGAAGAAGCGAAAGUGACGGUACCUGCAGAAGAAGCACCGGCUAACUACGUG